This 76-nucleotide transfer RNA is filed under the name Bacteroides hominis. RNAcentral describes it as "tRNA-Val". It matches the Rfam family "tRNA". From Rfam's summary of the family: Transfer RNA (tRNA) molecules are approximately 80 nucleotides in length. Lineage: Bacteria; Pseudomonadati; Bacteroidota; Bacteroidia; Bacteroidales; Bacteroidaceae. The record is from RNAcentral.
GGGCGUUUAGCUCAGCUGGUUCAGAGCAUCUGCCUUACAAGCAGAGGGUCGGCGGUUCGAAUCCGUCAACGCCACA